UUCCUUCUAUUCUUCUCUCUAUACGUUGGUGUUCUAACCAAUAAUCACCAAUACGAUAUUAUGUCCGAUCGAUUCGGAAACCAACGGACGAAUGCCAAAGUGCUGUCUAAAUAAGACUAUACUUUGUGAAUUUCGUUAAGGUUCAGAUCUUGUGACCAUCGUUAGGUUUGAUUGGGUUUAACACUAAUACGUAUUCCACUGUGUUAAACUAAAUGUUUAACUACCAGAAAACUCUGCACUAUACACUUACAAUCAAAAUAGAUGCUUAGUUAUCAGAAGACUUAGAAUCAGGAAGCCUGUUAAAUCAUGACUAUAUGCUAACAAGUUAUAUUUUACGGUGAUUAAGUCUUUGCAAAUCUUUAAUUACUGACAGUAAGUGGGGUAUUGUGCACAUUACUGUUGUUUUAUUACUCUUAGGUGGGCGAGCCUAAUUAGUAAUACACGUCAUUAUUGGGUGACAGUACCCAAUAAUGAUAUGACCACAGUCAUAGAUCCGGUCAAGUGACAACUGAACCAACUAAUUAUAAGAUAAGGGGCAAAUGUAAAAACUCUUAAUGCUGUGAAUUAUAACAAAGUUGUAAUUGCAGUGAUUAAGUCUUUGCCAAUCUUGAAGGAGCAAAUGUAAAACCUCUUAAUGCUGUGAAUUAUAACAAAUGUGUUUUUGUACAAAAUGAAUGAACUCACCAGUAUUUCUUGCUGACCAACUGUUUUUAAAACGCGUUUCAGGUGAUCACAGUAGAUCGGAAUAAGAGUUGUGAUACGGCACCGAAAGGCUUAAAGAAGUGGCUUAUUUUAUCAAUUAAACUAAAUCAAGAAAUGUUGUUUUAGGGUUUAUCCCAUACUAAAGCUACAUUUGUAAAACAUAGGUUUAUUCCUAUCUGUUUAAUAAAUAAAAUCCGGUGUUUCAAAACUCUGAUAUUUUUCCUAACUCACGGUCCUGAUGAAAUUUUCCGCUGCAAUAUUUUCAAAAUAACCACCAGUACCACUUGACUGCUUGCGGCUCCCAUCCAGGGUGUGGUCGGGGGUCGUGACAGAGGUGGUAUCAGAGCCACUGGUUUAAGCAAUUGGUUGUUGUGAUAAUACCUAAGUUUAAACGAAAAAGUUAGGAAAUUGCUAUUAACUGGUAACACAUGUGAUAGUAUUUAGACUUGAACUUAAGAAAGAUACUUUAGUAUUAGCUUCGAGAUAAGCUAAUUCUUGCGUAAAUAAAGUGUGAUGGGUAUUGGUAUGCCGUGGGGAUGAUGACUAGAACAUUGCAAGUAUAGUAAAUAAGCGAUAACACUUGGCCACUAUUAUUUCUUUUUUAUUGGUACUACUGAGUUCUAGAAUAUGAUCCAUCAUGUGAAUACUAAUUACCUUGUUCUUUAAUAAAAGCCCUAAUAAAAGAUUCAUUUUUAAAUCAUAAAUUGAGAAGAUUAUAUUUAUGGGAAAUACAAAUUACCUCUCCGGCGAGAACCGGGUAAGAUGGAGUAUAUAAUAUGUCAAACAAGUGACAGAAUUCCUUAAAUAGUAUCAUGACCUGAUGUCUGACUUGUUUUUGGAAACAUGAAUCUGUUAAAUACAUUGACCUUAUGAAUGGUAUGUAUAUAACAGUAUAUGAAAUAUAUGAUUGUAUAGAUAUGCAUAUCUAUAAGGAAAUCCAAAAAACCAUAAGGAUUGACAAUUUAGAAUAAAGCACGAGCAUGUGUGUCAAUAAUAAUUCUAGAUUUCUUUAUCAGGAAUCUCUUGUAUACAUCUAUGAUUCUGACAUCGAAAACUAUUUCAUUUGAUCAUCCGUCUCGUAACUCGUGCGACAAGAUGAACGAUGUAAACCCUUUAAGUUGGGACACCAUUGAAAGUAUAAGAAUUCCCCUUGUGUUACCUUAGAUUAUUAACGCAUUAGGAAACCUGUAGCUAAAAGUUGUGCUAGGCACCAAACGUCUCAAAACUUACGUUAAUAAGAGUAAUUCUACUUUCUUUAAGAACUCUUGCGAAGAUAAAAGUAACCACGAUUAGAUGCACUUACAAAGACUCUUCACCUAUAAUCCUACUAAGAUUACCAGUAAUAAAGAAGCUGUUACGAAAUACAUGGGCUGCAAAGGACUGAAGUUGUCCAAACCAAUAGUAUAUAUGUCAAGAAACAUGAAGUGAUGUAUGCUUCAAAAUUUAGACAUUAAGAUAGAGAGACCCGAGCUUCGAAACACAUGAUCAAGACAUAUGCCAUGAAAUGGAAAGAAUGAAAUGUAGUAACUAAAGCUUUAAGUCAUAAGUUUCAUAAGAAGCCGAAACAAGUACGUGCUCUUAGAUUAAAUUACGGAUAGAUUUAAUAAAACAAUUAAAAAGUACCCAAGAAAUAGCAAUUAAGAAUGAUGCUGAAAGAUUAAAAAGGAAUUAGAAAAAGGAACCAAUGGAAUUUGGAGAUUCCAUAAGAAAAGAAUUUGGGUACUAAUCAAGGAAACCUAUGAAAAACAAAUUUCUCGAAAAAGAUCAUAGAACGAAGUAUUUGUGGCAUUGUGUAAAUGAUAUGAGGUAUCAAGAGUUUUAUAAGAAUUUCUGACAGACAAGAACGAAAAAAGAUGUAGCAAAGUUAUGUCUCUAAGUAUUUAAUCUAUUAGCAAGUUAAAGUAAAACGUUAGAAAUCUUUAGGUUGACUUCAAUGAUUAGAAGUGUCAGCAUGGAAAGGGGAUUGAUAACAAAUGGAUGUUAUUACCAAAUUUCCCAAAACAAUAAAUCGUAACGACACAAUCUGGAUGAUUAUGGAUUGACUAACCAAGUCAGCUUAAUUCCUACCAAUGAAGGAAACCAUUUAGUAUAAAAGGCUUAGUUACGUUGUAUAUGGACAAAAUAGUCUUGUUAGAUAGAAUCCCUUUAUCAUUAUAUCGGAUCGAGAUAAUCGUUCACUUUUCAUUUUGGGAAAGUUUUCAAAAAGCCAUGGAAACUUGACUGAAUCUAAGUACAACUUAUAUUGAGCAGAAAUAGGAGGAAGCAACUAUCAAGGCAUAAGAUGGGCAAACUAUUAGAAUUUCAAAUCAGAAGAAAAAUGAUACUAAAAGUCUCUACGUGAAAAGGGAAUCAUCCGAUGCGGCAAGAAAGAAGAGUUAAGUCUAAAAUUUGUUGAACCAUUUGGAAUCAUUAAAUAAAUUGGAUCAGUAGCUUAUCAGCUAGAGUUACCAGAAGAAAUGACAGGAAUACGUGAUGUGUUUCAUAUAUGCAACUUAAGGAACGCCUAGCUGAUAAAUCUUUACUUGUACCUCUUCAAGAUAUAGAGGUAAAUAAAAAUUUAAGUCCAUUGAAAGAUCUUACAAGUCAAAGAUAAGAAUCUCAAACCAUGGAAAUUGGUUCUGGUCAAAGUAAAGUGGAAUUCAAAGCAAGGACCAGAGUAUACUUAGAAACUAGGAUUAGUGUCAAAGUAAGAGUAUUCCUCCAAAUUUCUGUAAAUCUCGAGGAAGAGAUUUAAAACAAGGUGGGGAGGAUGUAACAACUUUCAAAAACACCCUAGAACGAGCCUUGAUUGAAACUCUAAACGCGUAAGAUGAAAACCGAAACGA
Molecule: long non-coding RNA, 3527 nt
Filed under: Helianthus annuus (common sunflower)
Lineage: Eukaryota; Viridiplantae; Streptophyta; Magnoliopsida; Asterales; Asteraceae
Description: hypothetical non coding rna
Source: RNAcentral